RNAcentral lists this ribosomal RNA (513 nucleotides) under bacterium enrichment culture clone ALO1_GLFRUDD03GUOFU. Its description in RNAcentral is "bacterial SSU rRNA". It matches the Rfam family "Bacterial small subunit ribosomal RNA", at positions 9 to 517 of the family's 1533-position model. The record is from RNAcentral.
GAGUUUGAUCUUGGCUCAGAUUGAACGCUGGCGGCAGGCCUAACACAUGCAAGUCGAGCGGAUGACGGGAGCUUGCUCCUUGAUUCAGCGGCGGACGGGUGAGUAAUGCCUAGGAAUCUGCCUGGUAGUGGGGGACGACGUUUCGAAAGGAACGCUAAUACCGCAUACGUCCUACGGGAGAAAGCAGGGGACCUUCGGGCCUUGCGCUAUCAGAUGAGCCUAGGUCGGAUUAGCUAGUUGGUGGGGUAAUGGCUCACCAAGGCGACGAUCCGUAACUGGUCUGAGAGGAUGAUCAGUCACACUGGAACUGAGACACGGUCCAGACUCCUACGGGAGGCAGCAGUGGGGAAUAUUGGACAAUGGGCGAAAGCCUGAUCCAGCCAUGCCGCGUGUGUGAAGAAGGUCUUCGGAUUGUAAAGCACUUUAAGUUGGGAGGAAGGGCAGUAAGUUAAUACCUUGCUGUUUUGACGUUACCGACAGAAUAAGCACCGGCUAACUCUGUGCCAGCAGCCG